This 16-nucleotide ribosomal RNA is filed under the name Staurodesmus validus. RNAcentral's name for it is "partial 28S ribosomal RNA". The record is from RNAcentral. Lineage: Eukaryota; Viridiplantae; Streptophyta; Zygnematophyceae; Desmidiales; Desmidiaceae.
CAUUGGCCUCAAGUCA